RNAcentral lists this ribosomal RNA (696 nucleotides) under Triticum aestivum (bread wheat). RNAcentral's name for it is "partial small subunit ribosomal RNA". The record is from RNAcentral. Lineage: Eukaryota; Viridiplantae; Streptophyta; Magnoliopsida; Poales; Poaceae.
AUGACGAUCCUAUGUUGGAACUGUCGGGGAUUGGGCCACCCUGGGACAAUUCGCGAGCUUGUGUGCCUAGUUCGCACGUAUCGCCCCUCUGUCGUGUUCGUCUCUGAGACGCGGUAGUGUGAGGAGAGCGUCAAAAGAAUAAGAUGGAGGCUUGGCCUCAAAAACUGCAUCACCCAUGAUGGCAUGGGAAAAGGUGCUGGUAUUGCCCUGUUUUGGGAUGAAAGUGUUGAAAUAAAUUUGCUCUCCUAUGGUUUGAGGUAUAUUGAUGUGCAUAUCCAUUUGAAUCCCCAUGGCCCGAUGUGGCGGGUUACCUUUGUGUAUGGCUAACCUAAAGCACAUGAGAGGCAUAACAUGUGGAACUUGUUGAAAAGAAUAAAACCAAAAUCGUCCGAACCUUGGAUGAUGAUAGGAGACUUCAACGAAACACUAUGGAAAAGUGAACAUUUUUCUACAGUGAAAAGAUCGGAAAGGUAUAUGAGCCACUUCAGAGAACUACUGUCAUGGUGUAAUCUUUAUGAUCUGGGUUACCAUGGACCUGAAUGGACAUACGAUAACAAGCAACAAGGACGAAAAAACGUCCGAGCUAGAUUGGAUAGGGGAGUGGCCUCUCCUGAAUGGUCUGAGUUGUUUCGAAAUGCAAGUGUGCUCCACGUCAUUACAUCUCGGUCUGAUCAUUUUGAAGGAAAUAUGCCCUAG